Molecule: non-coding RNA, 21 nt
Filed under: Caenorhabditis elegans
Lineage: Eukaryota; Metazoa; Nematoda; Chromadorea; Rhabditida; Rhabditidae
Source: RNAcentral
UAGGUUGUUUGAUGAGGCGCC